This 1509-nucleotide long non-coding RNA is filed under the name Malus domestica (apple). RNAcentral's name for it is "long non-coding RNA (MDOM_LNC008717)". The record is from RNAcentral. Lineage: Eukaryota; Viridiplantae; Streptophyta; Magnoliopsida; Rosales; Rosaceae.
CCCUUGGAUCAAGGAGGUGCAUAUCAAAAUGAAUUAUAAUAUCAGAUCAAACAUUUACGGUUGCCAAUCGUACUGUUGAUUGCGGUUUCCAACCAUCAUGUUUGAGCCUUGAUCUGCUGCAGAGCCAAACAUCAAAUAACUCAUAAUUUCAUUUUUUAUAUAAUUGAACAAGAAAUAUAAUGAAAAUGGGAGUUCUACAGACUUGAGAAUGGCCUGGAUGCUUUCUCACGGUGUUCAUGCUUCCUGCCAUCGGUUGAGCGACGACACUUCAACUGCUAGGAGAACACGACGGUGGAACCGUGUGGUACAGAGCCGCGAAGGAUGAGAAUGGUGUUUUGGGUCCUAAGCUAGGUUUUUGCACAACCGUGCGAAGGUAGCAGUUUGCUUGGAGGAGGAGGGGAGGAGGGUGACGGCAGGAGGAGUAUGGUUUUGAGAAGGAAAUAGGGAUUAGUUUUUCUCUUAAUGAAAUUAUAUAAACAUCCUCACUAAAGGGUCUUAAUGGGGGUUAAUGGGUUUGCGGGUGAACUUAAAAUAACCCGUAAAAUAACGGGUGAUUAAUAGGUCCAUCUGUUAACAAUCCGACUCAUUAAGCUUCCACUCAAAUGCUGAUUUUAAUGGGUGGGGUCAGAUCGGGUUGACAGGUUGGGUCCAAAAUGCCACCUUUACUUAGUAUUACGGUAUAGUAGUAUUCUUAUUUACUUGUAAAUAACAGGUCUUAGAUGCGCCCAAAUUCUUGAAUGGAGACAACUAUGCUACUUGGAGUUGUGCUAUGAUUAUUAGUUACAGUUCCAAGAACAAAAUGGGCACCACUAUAAUAGUCCGUGACCGCCUUAUCGGAUUUAAGCUUGAAAGCCUCCGCCUCAAGGGAGAAGCCUUGGUAAUGUGAUUUCUGUUGGCUCAAUUCAAGCCCAGGUCAUAUUAUGUUUGUGUACGAUUGCUAGGACCUUUUUGGCUUUGGCGUUAUUGUGGUGGCUAGAUUAGGAGUAAUGUUCUUUCACAAACGAAAUACGCACUGGAGAUCAUAAAGGAUGCAUGCUAUCUUGGUGCCCAACCAACGUCACUUCCCAUAGAACAAAACUUGUCCCUUGGUAAAAAUGACGAGAGUGCACUGAUGGCCCAUUAUCAUAUCGGAGACUUGUUAGACAUCUAUUUAAAAUGUGCCCUGCAAAUUCAAUUGCAUGAAAGAACAAGGCAUGAAUUUCAAAGUUUUAAUCUCUUUAGCAACUCAGUGUAAUUUCAAGACGUUUGAAUCAAAAUUCCAAGGAGAGAUGUAAAGAGAGAUUAAGACAAGAAUUUAAAAUUAUAUGAUCUGAAAAAGCUAGAACCCAAAAAUUCAAAAGUUUGGUGAGAGAUCUUAUUUUGUAUGUUACCUUUAAGGACAUGUAAUGUUGAUCCCUUUUAAAAGUCACAACAUUUCAAAAUUUCUGAAAGUGUCCUUCAAGAAUAUGACAUUCCACAUAAAUCUACGGAAACCAGUGGGGUCAAUGGCCCCAUAUGAACUGAAUUACU